RNAcentral lists this transfer RNA (76 nucleotides) under Verrucomicrobiaceae bacterium. RNAcentral describes it as "tRNA-Gln". It matches the Rfam family "tRNA". From Rfam's summary of the family: Transfer RNA (tRNA) molecules are approximately 80 nucleotides in length. Their secondary structure includes four short double-helical elements and three loops (D, anti-codon, and T loops). RNAcentral also lists the same sequence under 1 other name. Lineage: Bacteria; Pseudomonadati; Verrucomicrobiota; Verrucomicrobiia; Verrucomicrobiales; Verrucomicrobiaceae. The record is from RNAcentral.
AGCCUCAUAGCUCAAUCGUCAGAGCAUCCGGCUUUGAACCGGAAGGCUGGUGGUGCGACUCCACCUGAGGCUGCCA